AACGCGAAGAACCUUACCUGGGCUCGAAGUGCGGAGGACAGUGCCAGAAAUGGCAUCUCCCGAAAGGGUCUCCGUAUAGGUGCUGCAUGGCUGUCGUCAGCUCGUGCCGUGAGGUGUUUGGUUAAGUCCAGCAACGAGCGCAACCCUUAUCGUUAGUUGCCAGCGCGUUAUGGCGGGAACUCUAACGAGACUGCCUGGGUGAACCAGGAGGAAGGUGAGGAUGACGUCAAGUCCGCAUGGCCUUUAUGUCCAGGGCUACACACGUGCUACAAUGGUCGGUACAGAGGGCAGCGAAAUCGUGAGGUGGAGCAAAUCCCUAAAAGCCGAUCUCAGUUCGAAUUGUAGACUGCAACUCGUCUACAUGAAGUUGGAAUUGCUAGUAAUGGCGUGUCAGCAACAACGCCGUGAAUACGUUCCCGGGCCUUGUACACACCGAGUAUA
RNAcentral lists this ribosomal RNA (441 nucleotides) under uncultured bacterium. Its description in RNAcentral is "bacterial SSU rRNA". It matches the Rfam family "Bacterial small subunit ribosomal RNA", at positions 958 to 1398 of the family's 1533-position model. The record is from RNAcentral.